CCUACGGGAGGCAGCAGUGGGGAAUAUUGCACAAUGGGGGAAACCCUGAUGCAGCGACGCCGCGUGAGUGAAGAAGUAUUUCGGUAUGUAAAGCUCUAUCAGCAGGGAAGAAGAAAGACGGUACCUGACUAAGAAGCCUCGGCUAACCACGUGCCAGCAGCCGCGGGAAUACGGAGGGGGCAAGCGUUAUCCGGAAUUACUGGGUGGAAAGGGAGCGUAGACGGCCGUGCAAGUCUGAAGGGAAAGCCCAGGGGUCAACCCGGGGACUGCUUUGGAAACUGUGGAGCUAGAGUGCUGGAGAGGGAGGUGGAAUUCCUGGUGUAGCGGUGAAAUGCGUAGAUAUUAGGAGGAACACCAGUGGCGAAGGCGGCUGACUGGACAGUAACUGACGUUGAGGCUCGAAAGCGUGGGGAGCAAACAGGAUUAGAUACCCGUGUAGUC
This 441-nucleotide ribosomal RNA is filed under the name uncultured bacterium. Its description in RNAcentral is "partial 16S ribosomal RNA". It matches the Rfam family "Bacterial small subunit ribosomal RNA", at positions 338 to 795 of the family's 1533-position model. The record is from RNAcentral.